RNAcentral lists this ribosomal RNA (635 nucleotides) under uncultured bacterium. Its description in RNAcentral is "bacterial SSU rRNA". It matches the Rfam family "Bacterial small subunit ribosomal RNA", at positions 8 to 635 of the family's 1533-position model. The record is from RNAcentral.
AGAGUUUGAUCCUGGCUCAGGAUGAACGCUGGCGGCAUGCCUAAUACAUGCAAGUCGAACGAGGAUCCUUGUGGAUCCUAGUGGCGAACGGGUGAGUAACACGUAGGGAACCUGCCCGCGCACCGGGAAUACGCUCUGGAAACGGAGAACAAAUCCCGAUGUACAGGAAGGAGGCAUCUUCUUUCUGUGAAACAUCCUGUAAGGGAUGGGGCGCGGAUGGACCUGCGGUGCAUUAGUUGGUUGGCGAGGGUAAAGGCCCACCAAGACGAUGAUGCAUAGCCGGCCUGAGAGGGCGGACGGCCACAUUGGGACUGAGACACGGCCCAGACUCCUGCGGGAGGCAGCAGUAGGGAAUUUUCGUCAAUGGGCGCAAGCCUGAACGAGCGAUGCCGCGUGAGUGAAGAAGGCCUUCGGGUCGUAAAGCUCUGUUGCGGGGGAAAAAAGGCAUCUGCAGGAAAUGGUAGAUGACAGAUGGUGCCCCGCCAGAAAGUCACGGCUAACUACGUGCCAGCAGCCGCGGUAAUACGUAGGUGGCGAGCGUUAUCCGGAAUGAUUGGGCGUAAAGGGUGCGCAGGCGGUCCUGCAAGUCUGGAGUGAAACGUAUGAGCUCAACUCAUGCAUGGCUCUGGAAACUG